UCCGAGUUCACCCCGGCAGUCUCCUACAAGUCCCCGGCAUAACCCGCUGGCAACAUAGGACAAGGGUUGCGCUCGUUGCGGGACUUAACCCAACAUCUCACGACACGAGCUGACGACAACCAUGCACCACCUGUACACCCCCAACUAAAUGACCCCACAUCUCUGCAGGAACUGGGUGCAUGUCAAGCCCAGGUAAGGUUCUUCGCGUUGCGUCGAAUUAAACCACAUGCUCCGCUGCUUGUGCGGGCCCCCGUCAAUUCCUUUGAGUUUUAGCCUUGCGGCCGUACUCCCCAGGCGGGGCACUUAAUGCGUUAGCUUCGGCACGGGCGGAGUUGACACCGCCCACACCUAGUGCCCAUCGUUUACGGCGUGGACUAC
RNAcentral lists this unclassified non-coding RNA (378 nucleotides) under uncultured Actinomycetes bacterium. RNAcentral's name for it is "uncultured actinobacterium contains 16S-23S intergenic spacer region". The record is from RNAcentral. Lineage: Bacteria; Bacillati; Actinomycetota; Actinomycetes.